CAAACUCAGGCUCCAUACAAGCUAUGUAAGUGAUCUACCACUGAGCUACAACCCCCAGCCUGACCCAGAUGCCUUACUCAGUUCAAUGUCGACAACUCUAUUGCUAGAAUCUGCAAGUUGAUGCCUUUCCAGCCAAAGGAUAAUUCAGGGCAUUUGUAAGAGGGAAGAAUCUCUUUACCACUGUCCCCAGCCUCCUAACGGGUGUGAAGAUCAAUCAUUACCUCAGCCAAAUUUGCAUUUAACACAACAUAACACCAGUGUGGACGGCUGUCACUCAGUUUAACUUUCUGACAUAAUCUCUAUAUCUGAGAAACACUGCUUCAAGUCCAGAAGGCAAAGAAGCCCAGAAUGCAAAAGACUGGAUUCUCCUGACCUGGAGACCACAUAGGCAGCAGUUCCUGGGAGGAACUCUCAGCUGCACCGGAAGGAAGACACCACACCAGACGCUUCUUUCUGUGGGGCGCCUUGG
RNAcentral lists this long non-coding RNA (469 nucleotides) under Heterocephalus glaber (naked mole-rat). RNAcentral's name for it is "lncRNA (ENSHGLG00000032516.1)". The record is from RNAcentral. Lineage: Eukaryota; Metazoa; Chordata; Mammalia; Rodentia; Bathyergidae.